This 431-nucleotide ribosomal RNA is filed under the name uncultured bacterium. RNAcentral describes it as "partial 16S ribosomal RNA". It matches the Rfam family "Bacterial small subunit ribosomal RNA", at positions 29 to 507 of the family's 1533-position model. The record is from RNAcentral.
AACGAACGCUGGCGGCAGGCUUAACACAUGCAAGUCGAGCGCCCCGCAAGGGGAGCGGCAGACGGGUGAGUAACGCGUGGGAACGUACCUUUUGGUUCGGAACAACUCCGGGAAACUGGAGCUAAUACCGGAUAAGCCCUAACGGGGAAAGAUUUAUCGCCGAAAGAUCGGCCCGCGUCUGAUUAGCUAGUUGGUGAGGUAACGGCUCACCAAGGCGACGAUCAGUAGCUGGUCUGAGAGGAUGAUCAGACACACUGGGACUGAGACACGGCCCAGACUCCUACGGGAGGCAGCAGUGGGGAAUAUUGGACAAUGGGCGCAAGCCUGAUCCAGCCAUGCCGCGUGAGUGAUGAAGGCCUUAGGGUUGUAAAGCUCUUUUGUCCGGGAAGAUAAUGACUGUACCGGAAGAAUAAGCCCCGGCUAACUUCGUG